Molecule: ribosomal RNA, 229 nt
Filed under: uncultured bacterium
Lineage: Bacteria
Description: partial 16S ribosomal RNA
Rfam family: Bacterial small subunit ribosomal RNA
Source: RNAcentral
UCCGUAGGCGGGCGUCUAAGUCAGUGGUGAAAUCUUACAGCUCAACUGUAAAAUUGCCAUUGAUACUGGAUGUCUUGAAUUAGUGUGAAGUGGUUAGAAUGUGUAGUAUAGCGGUGAAAUGCAUAGAUAUUACACAGAAUACCAAUUGCGAAGGCAGAUCACUAACACUAUAUUGACGCUGAGGGACGAAAGCGUGGGGAGCGAACAGGAUUAGAUACCCUGGUAGUCC